RNAcentral lists this long non-coding RNA (235 nucleotides) under Elaeis guineensis (African oil palm). Its description in RNAcentral is "long non-coding RNA (EGUI_LNC005326)". Lineage: Eukaryota; Viridiplantae; Streptophyta; Magnoliopsida; Arecales; Arecaceae. The record is from RNAcentral.
CCAUACCUACCCCUUGCUGUUCGUCUUUCCCAAAGAACUUCAUCGCCUGACUAUCACACCCUCCGGCCUUUCUUUUUCCAAGGCCGAAUUCAACUGAAGUUGGAUUAGAAAAUCUGCCCCUCAAACUUUCCACCCUGGGAAACAACCCUUCCCAUCAAGCCUCUCAACCUCCACCUUCAACCCGCUGCUCUUGGUUGGCCAAACCACAGUAAAAAUAAAAAUAGAUCUGAAGCAU